Molecule: ribosomal RNA, 390 nt
Filed under: Triticum aestivum (bread wheat)
Lineage: Eukaryota; Viridiplantae; Streptophyta; Magnoliopsida; Poales; Poaceae
Description: partial small subunit ribosomal RNA
Source: RNAcentral
AUGAGCAGGCGGGUGCCCGGGAAGGAGGAGGCCAGAAACGCGACCGUGGAUCUGGUAGCUUUCAACUGCCCCAGAUGCUCGCAACCCCUCAAGCCUCCAGUCUACCAGGACACGGCAGGGAGGCUACUGUGCUCUUGUUGCUACGACAAGGUUCCCAAGACGCCACAGCUGGGUCCGUCGCCGCGGUACAGUCGCUGCCUGACGGUGGAGCGCAUGCUGGAGUCCGUCCGGGUCCCGUGCUCCAACGCCUCCAGCGGCUGCGCCGCCAUGACGCCGUACCACCGGUGGGCCGAUCACGAGAGCAGCUGCCCCCACUCAUCCCAGCCCCUGCCCGGAGGCGUGUUCGGAGCGGCGAAGAUCCGAAUGCCCUAUCGUUAUCCUACUCGCUAA